CAAAGAAUAGUUUAACUUAAGAAUUUAAGCUUUGGGAGCUUAAGGUGGGAGUUAAAAUCUCCCUUCUUUGA
RNAcentral lists this transfer RNA (71 nucleotides) under Priolepis semidoliata (half-barred goby). RNAcentral describes it as "tRNA-Pro". It matches the Rfam family "tRNA". From Rfam's summary of the family: Transfer RNA (tRNA) molecules are approximately 80 nucleotides in length. Their secondary structure includes four short double-helical elements and three loops (D, anti-codon, and T loops). The record is from RNAcentral. Lineage: Eukaryota; Metazoa; Chordata; Actinopteri; Gobiiformes; Gobiidae.